UGUUCAUGUACCGCCGCGUGUAGGACGUACUAACGAACUUUCUCUUUACGUUCUCGCGGCUGUCACAACCUCGUGGUUUUUGGCGUUGCCUUAUAAGCCGUUCCCUCCAUUCGUUCCUUGCGGGAAGCGACGUCUAAAGCAAUCGAAGCCUCGUGGUUUUUGGCGUGGCCUGUUCGGCUCUAUCGCGCCGUUCCCUCCGUUCGUUCCUGGCGGAGCGACGUCCAAAGACCUACAGAAGGGCUCUUUAUGUCCCUCUGUCCGGUGGUGGUUGCAAGCGAGGCCUGCACCGUUAUUGCCAUCACCAUAGUCUGAAGCAGGGCUCUGCCUGGCUCUGCGUCCCUCUGUCCACUGGUGGUCGCAAUCGAGGCCUGCACCGUAAUUGCCAUCACCAUAGUCUGAAGGUUUUCUGCACGUAAAGCGCAAGAUGGAGCAUGGACAAGUUUUUUUUGUUUUUUUAAUCGUCCAAGGCAUGGAGUUUUACUGAAGUUGAGCUAUGGUCCCGUUACAAGUGGUUUCUUCAGAUGAAAGCGUAGACUGGGGUCCGAACAAGGUGUUCUUUUUUUAACUGGCCCAGGCACAUUGUUUUAUUGAAGGUGAGCUAUGGUCUCCUACCCGCCUUACUUGUCACAGACAUUAUUUGCUGCCCUAGAUUUUUCUUCUCUUUUGAAAUGUCAGUUGGUUUUCAACUAAAUAUGCA
Molecule: long non-coding RNA, 697 nt
Filed under: Ixodes scapularis (black-legged tick)
Lineage: Eukaryota; Metazoa; Arthropoda; Arachnida; Ixodida; Ixodidae
Description: uncharacterized LOC115330345, transcript variant X5
Source: RNAcentral